GCUGGGCGUGGUGGCGGGCGCCUGUAAUCCCAGGUACUCAGGAGGCUGAGGCAGGAGAAUGGCUUGAACCCAGGAGUAAGAGCUUGCAGUGAGCAGAGAUCACACCACUGCACUCCAGCCUGGGUAACAGAGCGAGACUCUGUCUCCA
This 148-nucleotide small RNA is filed under the name Macaca fascicularis (crab-eating macaque). RNAcentral describes it as "Metazoan signal recognition particle RNA (ENSMFAG00000061338.1)". Lineage: Eukaryota; Metazoa; Chordata; Mammalia; Primates; Cercopithecidae. The record is from Rfam by way of RNAcentral.